CCUACGGGUGGCACCAGUGGGGAAUAUUGGACAAUGGGGGGAACCCUGAUCCAGCCAUGCCGCGUGUGUGAAGAAGGCCUUUUGGUUGUAAAGCACUUUAAGCGAGGAGGAGGCUACCUAGAUUAAUACUUUAGGAUAGUGGACGUUACUCGCAGAAUAAGCACCGGCUAACUCUGUGCCAGCAGCCGCGGUAAUACAGAGGGUGCGAGCGUUAAUCGGAUUUACUGGGCGUAAAGCGUGCGUAGGCGGCCAAUUAAGUCAAAUGUGAAAUCCCCGAGCUUAACUUGGGAAUUGCAUUCGAUACUGGUUGGCUAGAGUAUGGGAGAGGAUGGUAGAAUUCCAGGUGUAGCGGUGAAAUGCGUAGAGAUCUGGAGGAAUACCGAUGGCGAAGGCAGCCAUCUGGCCUAAUACUGACGCUGAGGUACGAAAGCAUGGGGAGCAAACAGGAUUAGAUACCCGAGUAGUC
RNAcentral lists this ribosomal RNA (466 nucleotides) under uncultured bacterium. RNAcentral's name for it is "bacterial SSU rRNA". It matches the Rfam family "Bacterial small subunit ribosomal RNA", at positions 338 to 795 of the family's 1533-position model. The record is from RNAcentral.